This 433-nucleotide ribosomal RNA is filed under the name uncultured bacterium. RNAcentral's name for it is "partial 16S ribosomal RNA". It matches the Rfam family "Bacterial small subunit ribosomal RNA", at positions 29 to 507 of the family's 1533-position model. The record is from RNAcentral.
AACGAACGCUGGCGGCAUGCCUAACACAUGCAAGUCGAACGAGACCUUCGGGUCUAGUGGCGCACGGGUGCGUAACGCGUGGGAACCUGCCCUUAGGUUCGGAAUAACUCCCCGAAAGGGGUGCUAAUACCGGAUAAUGUCUUCGGACCAAAGAUUUAUCGCCUUUGGAUGGGCCCGCGUUGGAUUAGCUAGUUGGUAGGGUAAAAGCCUACCAAGGCGACGAUCCAUAGCUGGUCUGAGAGGAUGAUCAGCCACACUGGGACUGAGACACGGCCCAGACUACUACGGGAGGCAGAAGUGGGGAAUAUUGGACAAAGGGCGAAAGCCUGAUCCAGCAAUGCCGCGUGAGUGAUGAAGGCCUUAGGGUUGUAAAGCUCUUUUACCCGGGAUGAUAAUGACAGUACCGGGAGAAUAAGCUCCGGCUAACUCCGUG